This 86-nucleotide transfer RNA is filed under the name Hypoxylon sp. CI-4A. It matches the Rfam family "tRNA". Rfam says of the family: Transfer RNA (tRNA) molecules are approximately 80 nucleotides in length. Their secondary structure includes four short double-helical elements and three loops (D, anti-codon, and T loops). Further hydrogen bonds mediate the characteristic L-shaped molecular structure. tRNAs have two regions of fundamental functional importance: the anti-codon, which is responsible for specific mRNA codon recognition, and the 3' end, to which the tRNAs corresponding amino acid is attached (by aminoacyl-tRNA synthetases). tRNAs cope with the degeneracy of the genetic code in two manners: having more than one tRNA (with a specific anti-codon) for a particular amino acid; and 'wobble' base-pairing, i.e. permitting non-standard base-pairing at the 3rd anti-codon position. Lineage: Eukaryota; Fungi; Ascomycota; Sordariomycetes; Xylariales; Hypoxylaceae. The record is from Rfam by way of RNAcentral.
GGUCCGUUGGCCCAAUGGUAAGGCGUCUGACUACGAUUAUGCGAAGCGCAAUCAGGAGAUUCUGGGUUCGACCCCCAGGCGGACCU